GCCUGGCUGGCUCAGUUGGUAGAGCAUGUGACUUUUGAUCUCCGUGUCUUGAGUUCAAGCCCCAUGUCGAGCA
RNAcentral lists this transfer RNA (73 nucleotides) under Canis lupus familiaris (dog). It matches the Rfam family "tRNA". From Rfam's summary of the family: Transfer RNA (tRNA) molecules are approximately 80 nucleotides in length. Their secondary structure includes four short double-helical elements and three loops (D, anti-codon, and T loops). The record is from Rfam by way of RNAcentral. Lineage: Eukaryota; Metazoa; Chordata; Mammalia; Carnivora; Canidae. RNAcentral also lists the same sequence under 3 other names.